AGUGUACUUAUUACACUGUAUUGGAAUCGCUUCUUUUCUCUUUCUCUGUGAAUUUCUUGAGAGCACAGACUACAUUCUGCUUAACUUUUUAUCCCCAGCUUUCAGCACAGUGCCUGGCUUGUCUGAGGCGCAUGGCCCCGGGAGAGGAGGAGAAUGGGACGGUGGUUCAGAUCUGCUGAUGUAGCUGUGGUCAGUCACUGGGGAGAAUAGGCCUGUGGAUUUCUGCUCCUCUGAGAUGGAUCCAUCACUGACUACUGAACUUGUUUUCUCAUUGGCUCAACUUAAGAAGGUUCUAGAGGUGAUUCUAAGCACAUUAAAAUCUGGAUGACACUUAUCUGAAUCAUUUCGCAACUUGGAGAGAGAUGGAGAAGACACGCAUGGUGUAACUGGGCAUCACCAGAAUGUGCACUGCCAUCUGUGGCUGUCUUCCUGCUGGCAAAUCCUUUUCAUUCCAAGCAAAUAAGAUUCCCUAAAUUAGACAAAAAGGAAGAAACACAACAGAGUCCAUAAUUCUGAGAGGAAGAGAAGAGUGAUCAUCAGCAGCAAAAGGCAAUUGCAGAGAAGCACCACCAAGAGCCAGCUUCAUGCUCAGGAGUGAAUGCUGAGCCGCCUCCUCGUGGUUUCCGGUGCUCCACAUGUUCAGAGAAACUUCUCUGCUCAAAUGUUGCCUUUUCCAAAACCACCCAUGGGCCUGCCCCCUGACAUCCUGUGCCUAUAAAAACCCCAUACUCAGCUGGCAGAGAGAAGAGAAGCAGCUGGACGUUGGUGACUAUGGUUAGACAUUGGAGAGAAGCAGCUUCACUUCAGAGGGACAGCUUGACACGUAACAUCAGAGAAGAAUCUGGCCAGAGAUGGCUGGACUUCAGGAGAAGAUUACCUUCCCUCUCCAUCCCCUUUUCAACUUCCCUUCCUGCUGAGAGCCACUUUCAUCGGCAAUAAAAAUCCCCUACAUUUGUCAUCCUUCAA
This is a long non-coding RNA of Homo sapiens (human), 966 nucleotides long. NCBI's taxonomy places the organism in Eukaryota, Metazoa, Chordata, Mammalia, Primates, Hominidae. The record is from Ensembl.